AAUGAACGCUGGCGGCGCGCCUAAUACAUGCAAGUCGAGCGAGAAGACGUAGCAAUACGUUUGUAAAGCGGCGAACGGGUGAGGAAUACAUGGGUAACCUACCCUCGAGUGGGGAAUAACUAGCCGAAAGGUUAGCUAAUACCGCGUACGCUUCUUGGACUUCGGUUCAGGGAGGAAAGCGAUACCGUGGGUAUCGCGCUCUUGGAUGGGCUCAUGUCCUAUCAGCUUGUUGGUGAGGUAACGGCUCACCAAGGCUUCGACGGGUAGCUGGUCUGAGAGGACGAUCAGCCACACUGGCACUGCGACACGGGCCAGACUCCUACGGAGGCAGCAGUAAGGAAUAUUGCGCAAUGGGCGAAAGCCUGACGCAGCGACGCCGCGUGGGGGGAGUG
This 392-nucleotide ribosomal RNA is filed under the name uncultured bacterium. Its description in RNAcentral is "bacterial SSU rRNA". It matches the Rfam family "Bacterial small subunit ribosomal RNA", at positions 29 to 412 of the family's 1533-position model. The record is from RNAcentral.